CCUGAUUGUCUCUGGCUUGAGCUAACCAGGUUGCAUGACAAAGUACUUAAUAAAAACUACAGAUGCAGAGAAUUUUGGAAAUUUUUAAAAGACAGGAAAAAAGGUGGUUGAGGCAGAAAAAGGUAGUUCUAGAGUGAGAGGGGUUUCUUUCCUCCUCUUGGCUCACAGCAGAGGCCAAGUCCUUAGCAGUAUUUCCAGAGCAGGUGAAUGAGACUCUCUGAAGGCCAGCCCAGGGGUCUGCCUUGUAACACGUUCCCCCAGCUUCUCAUGUACACCACCACUCUUCGGGGACCACCACCUUCUGGGUUGGAUGGGUCUGGAAGAUUCUACGAAUACAUCCAGCCCUACCUGAGCAUUUGCAGAAAGCCUGCUCUGUGAGGGAGGGCAGUCCCAAAGCUCUCUGUGGUAGACACAGAACCCAACAGGGACUACUGGUGCCACACUCUCUCUUCUGUCAGAGAAGCACCCAAGUGAGCCAUGACUUUGACAUUGCAUGGCCAUCUUAUGUUCAUUCCUCAAACUUUGUCAUGUUAAUGUGUACUCUCUCAGGGACAUCAUACCUAACACGGCUGCCUUGAAGAUCUGCUUCGUUUAGAAUAUGCUAGUGAGGACAGUCCUGGAAUUUCUUUGUCUCUUUCCAGCCCCGCUUUCUCCACCUCCAGUCGUUUUCUGAGGACCGGUUUGGUGGGUGCUGAUGCCUGCCUGGAAGACCUCACACCCACAGUGUCUUGGAAGAUUCUGAAAGCAGUGUGAGACCAGAAUGACCAGCAAAGGAGAAAAGAACAAGGACGCAUUGCAGCCAGAAUGGAGCUAGAAUCUUGCCUCUGUCUAUCCUUCACUGGAGUUAUCCUGGAUGGAGAAGGAACCAUAUCACCUGCAAAGCCUGGAAGGGGAGCCCUGCUGUGAGCGAUCCAGUGUUCAAGCUGGUCAUCAGGAGAAAGCUACUUAUGAUUUCCUAACAAGCCACCACAGAACAUCACAUUCCCAAACAUGCUCUUCACCGUCCCUGCUGUCCCCACGUGGCUGGCCCUGGUGUGGGCAGGAAUGAGUGGGAUUGGGAUGUUUUCUCACAGGUCUUUCUCAGGUGAGGCCCCAGGCUGUGACCAGGCCCCUGCCCUGCAUGUGACUCAGGCCUAGCCCCUGCUGGGGCAGGAAUGCCACCCAGCACAGCAUCCUACUGGUGCCUGAAUAAAGAAUGGACUGGAGGUUCACCUGAAAGGGGCUGCCAGGUUUCUGCGGGGGCCAGCCAACGGCUCACAAUGACCCUGUGUUCAAUUCAUCUUACGAUGAAAUUUUUCAGCUUGACGAACUUUUACUCAUCUUUCAAGGCUCGGCUCAAAUGUUAUUUCCCUGGGAAAACUGCGCUACUUUCAGCAAAAUGCAUUUCCUUUUGAUGGGCAUCUGUUUUUUUCUUUUUUUUUUUUUUUUUGAGACAGGGUCUCACGCUCUUGUCCAGGCUGGAGUGCAGUGGUGCAAUCUUGGCUCACUGAACCUUCACAAUGGGCAUCUGUUUCUGUUCUAUGGAGUGACCUAAAAGUCAAGAAUCAUGGAGAAAUUGGGAGCAAUGGUUCACGCCUGUAAAUCCCAGCACUUUGGGAGGCUGAGGCAGGCGGAUCACUUGAGGCCAGGAGUUCGAGACCAGCCUGGCCAACGUGGUGAAACCCCGUCUCUACUAAAAAUACAAAAAAAAAAAAAAAAUCUGUUAGCUGAGCAUUGUGGCGUGCGCCUGUUAUCCCAGCUACUCGGGAGGUUGAGGCACAAGAAUUGCUUGAAGCUGGGAGGGGGAGGUUGCGGUGAGCCGAGAUCAAGCCACUGCACUCCAGCCUUGGUGACAGAGUGAAACUGUGUCUCAAAAAUUAAAAAAAAAAAAAAAAUCAUGGGGAGAAUUUAUUGUUAAACAGAAUAUUAGUUACAUUUUCAAAUAAUAUAGUCAAUAUGUUUUUCUGUAACCCUUAGAUAUGUUUUCAGAUGAAGUACCUCUAAAUGUAAAGAAAUGGGUCCAAUUGUUAAUUUUUUUAAAGGUUCAAGAAAUACACUACUUUCUCUGGCUUUUUCCUUACAACUCUUUCUUUUUUUUUUUUUUUUUU
Molecule: long non-coding RNA, 2087 nt
Organism: Gorilla gorilla gorilla (western lowland gorilla)
Lineage: Eukaryota; Metazoa; Chordata; Mammalia; Primates; Hominidae
Exons: 3
Source: RefSeq, a predicted model, not a curated record